GAAACCUCAUCUUGCUCAAGUGCCAUCCGGGCGCCAGGGCAGUGUUUUUACAAGAAAACACAGGCAAUCUGCCUGGGUGAGGAGAGAGU
This 89-nucleotide non-coding RNA is filed under the name unclassified sequences. RNAcentral describes it as "RAGATH-10 RNA". It matches the Rfam family "RAGATH-10 RNA". From Rfam's summary of the family: RNA motif Associated with Genes Associated with Twister and Hammerhead ribozymes (RAGATH). The record is from Rfam by way of RNAcentral.